Molecule: RNA transcript, 1102 nt
Organism: Pyrus x bretschneideri (Chinese white pear)
Lineage: Eukaryota; Viridiplantae; Streptophyta; Magnoliopsida; Rosales; Rosaceae
Gene name: nifU-like protein 1, chloroplastic
Exons: 5
Source: RefSeq, a predicted model, not a curated record
ACAUUUGUCGAAGUCAUAAACUGAACCCACCCCCCAUCUUCCAGAAACAGACUUGAACGGCCUUGCUUUAUUCAAACAUGGCGUCUCUCGCAGCCACCGGGUUCCCCAAAGCCCCAACGCUCUCUUCCAAAAUCCCCCCCAAAUCUCACCAAUGCCCACAAUUUACGUGUUUGAAACGGCACUGUUUCACCUCUAAAGCGCCCAUCUUUCUGAAAACCGCCAUUAGAGCUUCGAACCCAAGCGCCGCCGCCGAGUCUUCUUCUCCGGGACUCUACUCCGCCAAGCAGUACGAACUCACGGUUCCCAACGUCGACUUGGUUCUCGAGGACGUCCGCCCUUAUCUCAUCUCCGAUGGCGGUAACGUCGAUGUUGUCUCCGUUGAGGACGGCGUCGUUUCGCUCAAGCUUCAAGGGGCAUGUGGGAGCUGUCCGAGCUCAACGACCACCAUGAAGAUGGGAAUCGAAAGAGUGCUCAAGGAAAAGUUUGGAGAUGCGCUCAAGGAUAUUCAACAAGUCUUUGAUGAAGAAAAUAAAGAGAUCACAGUUGAGGUAGUGAAUCGUCAUCUGGACAUAUUGAGACCAGCCAUAAAGAACUUUGGCGGGAGUGUGGAAGUGUUAUCGGUUGAAGGUGGGGAUUGCCAUGUAAAUUAUGUAGGGCCUGAGUCCAUCGGAUCAGGAAUCAAAGCAGCGAUUAAGGAGAAGUUCCCAGAUAUCGUCAAUGUUGUAUUCACUGGAUAGCUUUGACUCCCAUGGAGAUGUCUUCCGAUUUCAAAAUGUGAUUGUUCAUCUAAGAGCCACUGGUGAUGCUCCUAUAUGCAAGCCACAAAUUCAAGCUGCAGAGUAGAGAGGUUGUCUCAUUAUCCAGCUUGUCAAAUUGGAUUUAGAGUUACAGUGCUUGUUGGCUCCUGAUGCUUGCCAAACAUUUAGAAUCCCAGAUUUUUCAAGAACCUUUGGUUGUACCUCUAUUCAAGGCUCUUGUAAAAGGCAACCUGAAAAUUGCCUGUAUCCAAAUGAAUGUUUUAGUUUCUUUGCUUAUAUCUUAUGUAAAUUUGUUGUUCAGUUUUGUUUGUGAUAAAUGUUUUGGGGUGUUCUUGUCGAUUUCA